CCUUAAGGAAUCAGGCGUCCUGCCAUCCCCUCCUCCUGUUCUCUGCCCCAAGUGCUGUACUCUAGCUCCUGGCUUUCCCUCAAGAUUCGAGCUUUCUCUUUACACUCACUGGGACCUUGGGCAAGCCUCUCUCUGCGCCUCAGUUUCUCCCUUUAAAGUGGGGAGGAGCUGGUCUCUAAGGAGCGUUCCUGUUCUAACAUUCUAAGGUUCUCUAAGUUUAUGAUUCUAUAUCCGGAGUCGGGACCCUGGGAGACCUAGACGCUCGGUGGUGCUACUGUUCCUCCGCCUCGGCUCCCUCAAGGACCCAGGCGUCGGACCCCUCACCCCUCCAGCCACCUGCUCAAGCCCUCUUCCGCAACUCCACCCUUGCAGAGAACAAAAUUUAAGGGCCCCCUAGUGACCACAGGUGACCAGAGGAAUUCACACCAAUGGGAGAGCUUUCUCCUUCCUCAGUAAUGAGUUUUUACAAGAUGAGCCACUUCAGUUUCUUCUCCCAGGAGGCAGGCUCCUCCAGGGAUCUGCACCCCCUGGAUACCAGCUACACCCCAAAGCCUUGUCACUUGGAGCUCUACUCCUUCCAGGAACCGAUCGUGGGUAAGCAGCCACCGCCUGUGUCUUCCCAGGCCUUGAAUGUCUUCUACAGAUCCCUCCCUUGAAGCCCCUAUCUCCCGGCUACGAAUGACUGGAACAGAGCCCUGUUUGACUUCAGGUGCACAAACUUGUGUGUGAAUGGGGCACUGCUCCCCUGCCUGCUGGCCUGUUUUGUGGCUGACACCCAGGGAGAAUGUUGCUGUCUCCCCUACCUGCCAGGGGCCCUGGUGGCUAUGAGGACUUCCCUGAGGGUUACUCAAGGUAUCCAGGGAUCCAUAGCUGAGGACUGGCUGGUCAUGUGCUGCUGUCCAGUCUGUGGCCUCUGCCAGAUGGCACACCAGUACAAUAGCUCCAUCAUCUGAAAUAAAGGCGGUUCCCCAUCUCCCAAGUCUCUCAAGCAAUUCCCUAAGGCAGUGUGGUCUGAGGAUUUGCAAUCAGAGGGCAGGGAUUCUGUUCCAGGUGGCCUUGAGCAGGUCUUUGCCCUGCUCUGGACCCGUUUCUUCUGCACAACAAGGGGCUGGGCUACAUUAUCUGUGAGGACUCUUGUCUCUCUAGCCCUCAGAGUCAUCCCCUCAUGGCUUCCCAAAGGCUCAGCCAGCAUUCCCAUUCCCUGCACCCCAGCCCCAUACA
Molecule: non-coding RNA, 1221 nt
Organism: Phascolarctos cinereus (koala)
Lineage: Eukaryota; Metazoa; Chordata; Mammalia; Diprotodontia; Phascolarctidae
Source: RefSeq, a predicted model, not a curated record